RNAcentral lists this ribosomal RNA (513 nucleotides) under Sorites sp. Sor_III. Its description in RNAcentral is "SSU rRNA". The stretch from base 1 to 367 matches the Rfam family "Eukaryotic small subunit ribosomal RNA", at positions 738 to 1113 of the family's 1831-position model. Lineage: Eukaryota; Foraminifera; Miliolida; Soritidae. The record is from RNAcentral.
AAUACAUUUUUACAAUACUGUGAACAAACCAGAGUGUAUAAAACAUGUAAUAUAUUAUAAUAUUUAGCAAUGAAUGUUUUAUCAUGGAAUAUUGCUUUUUAAUAUAAUAUCGAUGGAGAUAGUUGGAGUUAAGAGUACUGAUAGGCGAGCGGUGAAAUGCAUUGACCCUAUUAAGACUAACAAAAGCGAAAGCACUUAACUAGAUUAUUCUCUUUGUAUUAUUACAAUGAAGAGCGAAGGUUGGGGGAACAAAGAGGAUCAGAUACCCUCGUAGUCCUAUUUUUACAUCAAACUAUGGGAUUUCAAUCACACUUAUGUUCUACAAUAUUUUUUAUUAUAUAUAAUUGAGUACUUAAUUGUUUACUCUUAUAUUUAAUAUAAUUAUUUUUAUAAUUCAUUAUAUGUACUUUGAGCUCAUAUAAUAAUAUAGGUGAGAUGUAAGCAUUAUAGGAGACUAAUAUAUAAGUAAUGUUAUAUUAUUAUGAUCCUUAUUUAUAAAAAUGUAAUGUGAUG